AUGCAGGAAUGGGUGCUCGACUCUGUAUGUAGUACCAGAAAACUUCACGCACUGAUCAGACAGCUACAUCCCUGCGAAGCAACAACGACGGACUGGGCACAGUGCUUGCUAUUGAGCCUGCCGAUAAAUCUCCUUUCCUGGGAGAUGUACGUUCUGGGUUCCAUCAAUCAUGUCUUGAGACAAACAUGUACAGAGCACCUGCAUUUCCUCGUAAGUUGGCAUCGACUGAUUAUCUUUUAG
This 240-nucleotide ribosomal RNA is filed under the name Triticum aestivum (bread wheat). RNAcentral's name for it is "partial small subunit ribosomal RNA". Lineage: Eukaryota; Viridiplantae; Streptophyta; Magnoliopsida; Poales; Poaceae. The record is from RNAcentral.